RNAcentral lists this small RNA (27 nucleotides) under Bombyx mori (domestic silkworm). Its description in RNAcentral is "ovarian small RNA-34163". Lineage: Eukaryota; Metazoa; Arthropoda; Insecta; Lepidoptera; Bombycidae. The record is from RNAcentral.
UGCUCAUGGGGCCCGUUGCGGCUCGCU